GACGGAGGGUGCAAGCGUUGUUCGGAAUUACUGGGCGUAAAGGGCGCGUAGGCGGUCUGUUAAGUUCGGUGUGAAAGCCCCCGGCUCACCUGGGGAACUGCGCCGGAAACCGACAGACUCGAGUACCGGAGAGGAGGGUGGAAUUCCUGGUGUAGCGGUGAAAUGCGUAGAUAUCAGGAGGAACACCAAUGGCGAAGGCAGAUCUCUGGGCCGUAACUGACGCUGAGGAGCGAAAGCAUGGGGAGCGAACAGG
RNAcentral lists this ribosomal RNA (253 nucleotides) under uncultured bacterium. Its description in RNAcentral is "partial 16S ribosomal RNA". It matches the Rfam family "Bacterial small subunit ribosomal RNA", at positions 524 to 776 of the family's 1533-position model. The record is from RNAcentral.